CGUGCUUAACACAUGCAAGUCGAACGGAGCUUAUUAAGAAAGCGGAGCUUGCUCCAAUGGAUUUUUAAGCUUAGUGGCGGACGGGUGAGUAACGCGUGGGUAACCUGCCUUGCACAGGGGGACAACAGUUGGAAACGACUGCUAAUACCGCAUAAGCCGGUAGAACCGCAUGGUUUAUCCGGAAAAGAUUUAUCGGUGCAAGAUGGGCCCGCGUUGGAUUAGUUAGUUGGCGGGGUAACGGCCCACCAAGACUGCGAUCCAUAGCCGACCUGAGAGGGUGAUCGGCCACAUUGGGACUGAGACACGGCCCAAACUCCUACGGGAGGCAGCAGUGGGGAAUAUUGCGCAAUGGGGGAAACCCUGACGCAGCAACGCCGCGUGAGUGAAGAAGUAUUUCGGUAUGUAAAGCUCUAUCAGCAGGGAAGAAGAUGACGGUACCUGCAGAAGAAGUCCCGGCUAACUACGUGCCAGCAGCCGCGGUAAUACGUAGGGGACAAGCGUUAUCCGGAUUUACUGGGUGUAAAGGGAGCGUAGGCGGCCAGCCAAGUCAGAAGUGAAAUCCCACGGCUCAACUGUGGGCGUGCUUUUGAAACUGGAGGGCUUGAGUACUGGAGGGGCAAGCGGAAUUCCUGGUGUAGCGGUGAAAUGCAUAGAUAUCAGGAAGAACACCGGAGGCGAAGGCGGCUUGCUGGACAGAGACUGACCCUGAGGCUCGAAGCUGGGGAGCAACGGAUAG
Molecule: ribosomal RNA, 736 nt
Filed under: uncultured rumen bacterium
Lineage: Bacteria
Description: bacterial SSU rRNA
Rfam family: Bacterial small subunit ribosomal RNA
Source: RNAcentral